CGGAUGGUUGUUUGAACCGCAUGGUUCAGGCAUAAAAGGUGGCUUCGGCUACCACUUACAGAUGGACCCGCGGCGCAUUAGCUAGUUGGUGAGGUAACGGCUCACCAAGGCGACGAUGCGUAGCCGACCUGAGAGGGUGAUCGGCCACACUGGGACUGAGACACGGCCCAGACUCCUACGGGAGGCAGCAGUCGGGAAUCUUCCGCAAUGGACGAAAGUCUGACGGAGCAACGCCGCGUGAGUGAUGAAGGUUUUCGGAUCGUAAAGCUCUGUUGUUAGGGAAGAACAAGUGCCGUUCAAAUAGGGCGGCACCUUGACG
This 319-nucleotide ribosomal RNA is filed under the name Bacillus siamensis. RNAcentral's name for it is "bacterial SSU rRNA". It matches the Rfam family "Bacterial small subunit ribosomal RNA", at positions 170 to 474 of the family's 1533-position model. The record is from RNAcentral. Lineage: Bacteria; Bacillati; Bacillota; Bacilli; Caryophanales; Bacillaceae.